CCUACGGGGGGCUGCAGUGGGGAAUAUUGGACAAUGGGGGGAACCCUGAUCCAGCCAUGCCGCGUGUGUGAAGAAGGCCCUCGGGUUGUAAAGCACUUUCAGUGAGGAAGAACGCCUGGUGGUUAAUACCCAUCAGGAAAGACAUCACUCACAGAAGAAGCACCGGCUAACUCCGUGCCAGCAGCCGCGGUAAUACGGAGGGUGCGAUCGUUAAUCGGAAUUACUGGGCGUAAAGCGCGCGUAGGUGGCUUGAUAAGCCGGUUGUGAAAGCCCCGGGCUCAACCUGGGAACGGCAUCCGGAACUGUCAAGCUAGAGUGCAGGAGAGGAAGGUAGAAUUCCCGGUGUAGCGGUGAAAUGCGUAGAGAUCGGGAGGAAUACCAGUGGCGAAGGCGGCCUUCUGGACUGACACUGACACUGAGGUGCGAAAGCGUGGGUAGCAAACAGGAUUAGAUACCCUAGUAGUC
This 465-nucleotide ribosomal RNA is filed under the name Vreelandella stevensii. Its description in RNAcentral is "partial 16S ribosomal RNA". It matches the Rfam family "Bacterial small subunit ribosomal RNA", at positions 338 to 795 of the family's 1533-position model. Lineage: Bacteria; Pseudomonadati; Pseudomonadota; Gammaproteobacteria; Oceanospirillales; Halomonadaceae. The record is from RNAcentral.